CGGCAGUGUGUGGCUGUGGCCGUGCCCGCUGGUGAGGCCAGGCAGGCUCCCUCCCCACCGCCUGACGCUCCUCAGGGUCCCCACUGCGAGGGGUAGAGUCAGCACUGAGACCCCCCUGGGCCGCCCUGUGUGCACAAAUUCCCUGACUCUUGGGACCCCAUGGACUACAGCCCGCCAGGCUCCUCUCUUCAUGGGAUUCUCCAGGCAAGAAUACUGAACAGAGGCAGAUUAACAGUGCUCUGGAUUCCCUUCCUGAUCACAAGUUUCCAACCAGAAUUGAUGGGCCAGAAUUGAUAGGAGUGAAGAGCACAGACCACGAAGACAGCGGAAGGGAGCGAUGAUAGAGUAUGACAGUAAACUCUACACAAAGAUGUAAAUUUGUGGCUGCUGCUGCUGCUGCUAAGUUGCGUCAGUCGUGUCUGCCUCUGUGCGACCCCAUAGACGGAA
Molecule: long non-coding RNA, 447 nt
Organism: Cervus elaphus (red deer)
Lineage: Eukaryota; Metazoa; Chordata; Mammalia; Artiodactyla; Cervidae
Exons: 3
Source: RefSeq, a predicted model, not a curated record